UUCCCUGACCGGGAAUCGAACCCGGGCCGCAGCGGUGAAAGCGCCGAAUCCUAGCCACUAGACCACCAGGGA
This 72-nucleotide transfer RNA is filed under the name Eschrichtius robustus (grey whale). Its description in RNAcentral is "tRNA-Glu". Lineage: Eukaryota; Metazoa; Chordata; Mammalia; Artiodactyla; Eschrichtiidae. The record is from RNAcentral.